RNAcentral lists this ribosomal RNA (468 nucleotides) under uncultured bacterium. Its description in RNAcentral is "partial 16S ribosomal RNA". It matches the Rfam family "Bacterial small subunit ribosomal RNA", at positions 28 to 507 of the family's 1533-position model. The record is from RNAcentral.
GACGAACGCUGGCGGCGUGCUUAACACAUGCAAGUCGAACGGAAAGGCCCUGCUUUUGUGGGGUGCUCGAGUGGCGAACGGGUGAGUAACACGUGAGUAACCUGCCCUUGACUUUGGGAUAACUUCAGGAAACUGGGGCUAAUACCGGAUAGGAGCUCCUGCUGCAUGGUGGGGGUUGGAAAGUUUCGGCGGUUGGGGAUGGACUCGCGGCUUAUCAGCUUGUUGGUGGGGUAGUGGCUUACCAAGGCUUUGACGGGUAGCCGGCCUGAGAGGGUGACCGGCCACCGUGGGACUGGGGUUCGGCCCGGACUCCUACGGGGGGCAGAAGUUGGGGAUAAUGCACAAUGGGCGGAAGCCUGGUGCAACAACGCCGCGUGGGGGAUGGCCGCCUUCCGGUUGGAAACCGCUUUCGCCUGUGACGAAGCGUGAGUGACGGUAAUGGGUAAAGAAGCACCGGCUAACUACGUG